GACAGAGGGGGCAAGCGUUGCUCGGAAUCACUGGGCGUAAAGGGCGCGUAGGCGGGAUGGCAAGUCAGUCGUGAAAUCUCUCGGCUCAACCGAGAAACGUCGGCUGAUACUGCCGUUCUUGAGGGAUGCAGAGGAGACUGGAAUUCCCGGUGUAGCGGUGAAAUGUGUAGAGAUCGGGAGGAAUACCUAUGGCGAAAGCAGGCUACUGGACCGUCACUGACUCUGAUCUGCGAAAGCUAGGGGAGCAAACAGG
This 253-nucleotide ribosomal RNA is filed under the name uncultured bacterium. RNAcentral describes it as "partial 16S ribosomal RNA". It matches the Rfam family "Bacterial small subunit ribosomal RNA", at positions 524 to 776 of the family's 1533-position model. The record is from RNAcentral.